GCAAUAGCGCAGUGGUAACGCGUCUGCCUGUCACGCCGAACGCCCGGGUUCGAUCCCCGGUGGAGGCA
Non-coding RNA from Haliotis rubra (blacklip abalone), 68 nucleotides. NCBI's taxonomy places the organism in Eukaryota, Metazoa, Mollusca, Gastropoda, Lepetellida, Haliotidae. The record is from the annotation of a RefSeq genome assembly.